This 419-nucleotide ribosomal RNA is filed under the name uncultured bacterium. RNAcentral's name for it is "partial 16S ribosomal RNA". It matches the Rfam family "Bacterial small subunit ribosomal RNA", at positions 355 to 774 of the family's 1533-position model. The record is from RNAcentral.
UGGGGAAUAUUGCACAAUGGGCGCAAGCCUGAUGCAGCGACGCCGCGUGGGGGAUGACGGCCUUCGGGUUGUAAACCUCUUUCACCAUCGACGAAGGUCCGGGUUUUCUCGGAUUGACGGUAGGUGGAGAAGAAGCACCGGCCAACUACGUGCCAGCAGCCGCGGUAAUACGUAGGGUGCGAGCGGUGUCCGGAAUUACUGGGCGUAAAGAGCUCGUAGGUGGUUUGUCGCGUUGUUCGUGAAAUCUCACGGCUUAACUGUGAGCGUGCGGGCGAUACGGGCAGACUAGAGUACUGCAGGGGAGACUGGAAUUCCUGGUGUAGCGGUGGAAUGCGCAGAUAUCAGGAGGAACACCGGUGGCGAAGGCGGGUCUCUGGGCAGUAACUGACGCUGAGGAGCGAAAGCGUGGGGAGCGAACA